This 406-nucleotide ribosomal RNA is filed under the name uncultured bacterium. RNAcentral's name for it is "partial 16S ribosomal RNA". It matches the Rfam family "Bacterial small subunit ribosomal RNA", at positions 30 to 526 of the family's 1533-position model. The record is from RNAcentral.
AUUGAACGCUGGCGGCAGGCCUAACACAUGCAAGUCGAGCGAGCGGCGGACGGGUGAGUAAUGUCUGGGAAACUGCCUGAUGGAGGGGGAUAACUACUGGAAACGGUAGCUAAUACCGCAUACCAUCAGAUGUGCCACGAUGGGAUUAGCUAGUAGGUGGGGUAACGGCACAUCUAGGGGACGAUCCCCAGCUGGUCUGAGAGGAUGACCAGCCACACUGGAACUGAGACACGGUCACGACUCCUACGGGAGGCAGCAGUGGGGAAUAUUGCACAAUGGGCGCAAGCCUGAUGCAGCCAUGCCGCGUGUGUGAAGAAGGCCGUCGGGUUGUAAAGCACUUUCAGCGGUGAGGCGUUACCCGCAGAAGAAGCACCGGCUAACUCCGUGCCAGCCGCCGCGGUAAUAC